GACGAACGCUGGCGGCAGGCUUAACACAUGCAAGUCGAGCGCCCAGCAAGGGGAGCGGCAGAUGGGUGAGUAACGCGUGGGAACGUACCCUUAUCUUCUGGAUAGCUCCGGGAAACUGGAAUUAAUACCGCAUGUGCCCUUUGGGAGUAAGAUUUAUCGGAUACGGAUCGGCCCGCGUUGGAUUGGUUAGUUGUUUGGGUACAGGGCUACCACGGCGACGUUGCAUACCUGGUCUGAGAGUAUGAUCAGCCACAUUGGGGCUGGGACACGGCCCACACUCCUACGGGAGGCAGCAGUGGGGAAUAUUGGACAAUGGGCGCAAGCCUGAUGCAGCCCUGCCGCGUGAGUGCUGAAGGCCUUAGGGUUGUAAAGCUCUUUCACCUGUGAAGAUAAUGACGGUAUCCGGAGAAGAAGCCCCGGCUAACUUCGUG
Molecule: ribosomal RNA, 431 nt
Filed under: uncultured bacterium
Lineage: Bacteria
Description: partial 16S ribosomal RNA
Rfam family: Bacterial small subunit ribosomal RNA
Source: RNAcentral